Drosophila gunungcola (fruit fly) is the source of this 1801-nucleotide long non-coding RNA. RefSeq lists it as uncharacterized. Lineage: Eukaryota; Metazoa; Arthropoda; Insecta; Diptera; Drosophilidae. The transcript has 4 exons. The record is from RefSeq and is a predicted model, not a curated record.
ACAUAUUUAUAGAUUUCGGGGACUUUGUUGGUGAUUUACCACCGCCCCAUAAAGAUUGCGGCGGGAAAGGGACGCUAUUUUGUCCACAAAAUACUCGAGCCGACACAUCUGCAUUGUAAAUAACUGCCAAUCAAGUUUCGGCUACUUUAUAAUAUUCAAUGCGAAAGGAAACGCAUAGAUUUCAAUCAAUUGCCCCUAGUAUAUCAUGGGUUUCAGUUCGGUACGGUUCGGUUCGUUUGGCCUGUCUAAAUCCGUAAGUGAUUCAAUGCUGUGGUGGGGCUUUGUGAAACCGGAGAGGGCCUAUUCCCAGAAAUUCUGGUCCCGUCGCAAUUGCACUUCCAUUGUUUCAUUCCGGAAAAGCUAUAUCUUAAGUAUUGAAUACACUCACUCAACAGUGGUUUAUUUAUGAACACGAACGAAUGUAUGACUAUUUUCCUGUCCCAAAACGAAAUACUUUAAUUCAAUUCCUGCACUUUUGGAAUCUCGUAUCACGGCUGGCAACCAAUUGAUUAGGAACUCGAAAACAAUAAAUAAAAACAAGUCUGCAAUUUGGAAAGGAGUGCUCUCGAGUGGAGACUCGUGGGUUCAACAAUGUGUAUCUUUCCUGUUUCUGGCUUCUUGUGGCUAAUGGCUCGGAAAAGUUUGGAAAAAAUGGAGUGGGUGGUUAGUUGAUUUGCUGGCCGAACUACUGCGACGAUGAAAAUGCGCCUAGAUAAGUCUCAAUUGCACAAGCAUACUUGUGUGUUUAUAUGACAUAUAGUGGGUUUAGAUAAGACCCCAAAGUGCCCCUCAUUUGGUAAUUGCAUUUCGAAGCGGGAUCCCAGGAAUGCUUACGGCAUCUCCAUUUUUAUCUUUCCCUGGGGAUUAGGCAAAUUACUGAAAGCUGCGGCUGCUAAUUAAUGGGUAAAUUUUGAAUUUAUCGUGCUCGCCAUAAUUGCACGUCACCGCCCUCAUAGACCUAUAUGGUCUUCAAAUGGCGUCGCCAAAUCAGCAAUCAAUCACCAGUCAUAAGCACAUGAACAUGAUCCUCGAACGGAAACCAAGCGAAUCGGAACAUCCGCCUUUCAUACACAGCAAAAGAAAUUUCUAACCAUAUUUGGUUUAAGAAAUGUUUAUAUUUAGAUUUGUUUGCCAGCAAAAUGAUAGCCUUUGCUUUAACGCAACAUUACAUCUUGUGGUGUUGUGCUUGUACCAAACUACUUUGAAAAAAUCUUCUUGGCAUGCAAGAUAUAGGAUAUUUAUUUAUAAAAUUUCAAGUUAAUGUUGCACAAAAAUUGUUUUCAAUAUUGACAAAUUGAAAUGACGUUUUUCUGUGUGUACAGUCAGAAUUUCGAAUCGAAUGCGGAAAGAAGCAAUAGAAAAUGCAAAACAAAACAUACACAAAACAUGGCGAUGCCUUUGCCAUGUUUUUUCAGGGUCGCCAGACAGCAAGUGAAAUAGAAAUCAAACCUAUUUCCCAUUUUCCACUUCUCAGUGAGAGAGCGUAAUCGAAAUCCAAUGGAUGAGCACGAUUUCUGCAGGUUGCAGAUACAAAUGCAAAUAUAAGCGAACAAACAUAAAUCGCGUAGCCAGAAAUAUUUGCAUGAAUCGGAAGACUGUUAAGAUGAAUUUAAUGCUAAGCCUGCAUCUCGAGUUCUUGGAUGGCUGGUGGUGAUGAGGAAAAGCGACUUUGCAAAGCAAAGUGCAUAGGAAAAAUAAUAAGAUAACGGACAGAUUACGUAUACGACUCAUAAAACGGUCGACGUCGCACUGAAUUGCGACGUAAUAAAUUCUCUUUGGCCAUGACAGACGCAGCGGGGGG